CCUACGGGAGGCAGCAGUGGGGAAUUUUGGGCAAUGGGCGCAAGCCUGACCCAGCAACGCCGCGUGAAGGAAGAAGGCUUUCGGGUUGUAAACUUCUUUUGUCAGGGACGAAGCAAGUGACGGUACCUGACGAAUAAGCCACGGCUAACUACGUGCCAGCAGCCGCGGUAAUACGUAGGUGGCAAGCGUUAUCCGGAUUUACUGGGAGUAAAGGGCGUGUAGGCGGGGAAGCAAGUCAGAUGUGAAAACCACGGGCUCAACCUGUGGCCUGCAUUUGACACUGUUUUUCUUGAGUACUGGAGAGGCAGACGGAAUUCCUAGUGUAGCGGUGAAAUGCGUAGAUAUUAGGAGGAACACCAGUGGCGAAGGCGGUCUGCUGGACAGCAACUGACGCUGAGGCGCGAAAGCGUGGGGAGCAAACAGGAUUAGAUACCCCGGUAGUC
Molecule: ribosomal RNA, 443 nt
Filed under: uncultured bacterium
Lineage: Bacteria
Description: partial 16S ribosomal RNA
Rfam family: Bacterial small subunit ribosomal RNA
Source: RNAcentral